RNAcentral lists this ribosomal RNA (491 nucleotides) under uncultured bacterium. Its description in RNAcentral is "partial 16S ribosomal RNA". It matches the Rfam family "Bacterial small subunit ribosomal RNA", at positions 29 to 507 of the family's 1533-position model. The record is from RNAcentral.
GUGAACGCUGGCGGUAGGCCUAACACAUGCAAGUCGAACGGCAGCACAGUAAGAGCUUGCUCUUACGGGUGGCGAGUGGCGGACGGGUGAGGAAUACAUCGGAAUCUACUUUUUCGUGGGGGAUAACGUAGGGAAACUUACGCUAAUACCGCAUACGACCUACGGGUGAAAGCAGGGGAUCUUCGGACCUUGCGCGAUUGAAUGAGCCGAUGUCGGAUUAGCUAGUUGGCGGGGUAAAGGCCCACCAAGGCGACGAUCCGUAGCUGGUCUGAGAGGAUGAUCAGCCACACUGGAACUGAGACACGGUCCAGACUCCUACGGGAGGCAGCAGUGGGGAAUAUUGGACAAAGGGCGCAAGCCUGAUUCAGCCAUACCGCGUGGGUGAAGAAGGCCUUCGGGUUGUAAAGCCCUUUUGUUGGGAAAGAAAAGCAGCAGGUUAAUACCCCGCUGUUCUGACGGUACCCAAAGAAUAAGCACCGGCUAACUUCGUG